Long non-coding RNA from Scophthalmus maximus (turbot), 2518 nucleotides. NCBI's taxonomy places the organism in Eukaryota, Metazoa, Chordata, Actinopteri, Pleuronectiformes, Scophthalmidae. The record is from Ensembl.
UCUCUCUGCACCUAUCCCGUCCUGGACAUCCUUCUUUGGGCCUCCUUCGCAGCCCAAGACACAGUUAAUGAAGCUGGAGAAUUCAAAGGAUCAGUGGACAAGACGUGCACAUCCAGUCGUAGGUGCUGCUCUUUAAAAACUCUGGUCUGGUGAAUCCGGACUUAAGGACGCCGAAUCUCUGCAGCGGUGAGGGAGAUGGAAUUUUGACGAGGUGCAUGGUUUAAAGAGGAAAUCCUCCGGCAGGGUUUGCGGUUAUCAGGUUAACUUCAGUUUUUUUGCUCUUGAGUUUUCCAUCCUACGAAGCUGGUUCUCUGCUUGCAAAUCACCACGGUAACCUAUGCUGAAAGGCUAACCUGAGAUUCAAAGACGUCAAAGGACUUUCACCAGUCCAACUAUAGUGACCAAUCAGAUCUCUGGAAAAACCAGAGUCAUCGUUCUACAGGAUCCUGACUGGGACAAAAGACUCUGGAGUAACGUGACUAACAAUAAAGCGCAGCAGAGACUGAGCUCAGCAGUGAACCCGCCCACUUUUAGAACGGCGCCAGUUCCGGAAGGGAAAUUCCGAUUCACUAACUCCAUUGACGUUUCAUAAAAUCCUAAUGUUAAGAGUUUUAAGCCUGAUUAAUUAAAACCAAGAUUAAUCUUCAUAAAACAUUUUAUUCUGAGCAACAAAAAAUUAUAAUUGGAAAAUGGAAAAAAAAACAAAGGUACAGUGAAGGAAUUACUCAUCCCAUAAACCAUUGGGAAUGCCUUCCCAACAAUUUCCAACCAAUCAGCGAAGUCGAUGUUACACUUUGGGAUUGUGGGUAGUGUAGUUCUUCUCAAUGACAUCACGAAUAAAACAUUUUUCUCUUUAAACAAGGUUGAUUUCAUCCGGACUUCUACAGGUUCAUAUACCGUCGUUUCACGGCCUCCGAGCUCGUGGUGAUGAAGGUGAUGAAGAGGGCAGCAGAGGACUGUGGCCGUUUGCUCAUCAGCUGCUGUUGGGAUUUAAGCUGCUUAAACGUUAUGGAUCUUUAUGCUGUUGCAACAAGAACAACAACAACAUCAAAAAACAACAACAGCAGCAACAACGACAACAAAAACAACAACAACAACAGCAGCAACAACAACAACAGCAACAACAGCAGCAACAACAACAGCAACAGCAGCAACAACAGCAGCAACAACAACAACAACAGCAACAGCAGCAACAACAACAGCAACAACAGCAGCAGCAACAACAACAACAGCAACAGCAGCAGCAGCAACAACAACAACAACAACAACAGCAAAAAGGCUGAAUUUAGGGUUACACUGUAAACAGGUGUCCGAACAUCGAGGGAAAAACUGGGUUGAUCUUUAUUAUAAUAUAAUAUAAUAUAAUAUAAUAUAAUAUAAUAUAAUAUGAUAUAUUAUAAUAAUCUGUAAAGUGCCUUGAGGUAAUGUCUGUUGUGAUUCGGUGUUAGACGAAGUUAAACAGAAUUUAAUUUAACUCUUUAGCCUUUUUCUAAUUAUCAUGACAACUAGACCAAAUAUGUUCAUAAUAUUAUUAUUAUUAAUCUCCUGUUGUUUAUAAUUGUAAUCUAUUAUUAAAUAUAGAAACGUAUAAUAUAAAACUGCUCUGACUCGACUUCCUGUGACAUCAGGUUCAGAAACACUGACGAGUGUUUGACCCAGACUCUGAAUGUGGAGGCCCAGGAGGCCAGUUUGAUCUGUGUGUGUGUGUGUUUGUGUGUGUGUGUGUGUGUGUGUGUGUGUGUGUGUGUGAGAAGCGCUGAGCGGAUGUAAAGGGAUCAGUGUGUCAGUGGCUGUUUGACAAGCCGAGACAAUACCUGAAACCUGCAGGUCAGCCCCCGCUGAGAGUGUGUGUGUGUCCGUGUGUGUGUGUGCGUGUGUGUGUGUGCUUGCUAUGGGUCACAGCCUCUGCUGUCAUGUCACAGUGUUCCCAUGGCACUUCACAGCCACCUGGAAACACCUGAAGCAGAGCCGAGAGUGUGAGUGUGUGUGUGUGUGUGUGUGUGUGUGUGAGAGAGUGUGUGUGUGAAAAGGAAGAAUGGAUGAAUGAGGAAACAGAAAAGUGAAGGAGGAUGAAAGAAAUGGAGGAGAAGAAGGCGUCAGUCAGUUUUAUCUUUAGGUUGAAAGAGCGAAAAAAAAAAUCUUUGACUCCAUAAAAUUCAUGACAUAAGAUGUCAAAUUAAAAAAAGUUGAGUCUGUACAGCUCCUCAUUAAGUCAUCUGAAAUCACCAGCUCUGUUUGUGUUCUCGACUUGUUCUUCCUUUUGAUUUUAAACCUGGAGGAAAGUGUCGUUUCAAAGGAGGUCAGGGUGCGUUUCAUUCGCUCGCCUGUCGGCGGCGUCACGUCUCCUUUAGUGCAAAAAAAAAGUGACUUCUGAUUCAAUUUCAAGUCAGGUUUUCUUUCAAGGUCUCUGUGGUUUCUGACUCUAUAUUUGAGGCGGUUGAAGGAAGUGAAGUGAUUUGUCUCUGAUGCCAGCUCUCCCCGUAUACAUGAGCGGGGAAGAAUGACGGGAGUAACUCCU